RNAcentral lists this non-coding RNA (24 nucleotides) under Arabidopsis thaliana (thale cress). Lineage: Eukaryota; Viridiplantae; Streptophyta; Magnoliopsida; Brassicales; Brassicaceae. The record is from RNAcentral.
CUUAAAUCGAUUUCAGCCCGUGAU